UUACCUGGGUUUGACAUAUAGGUUGUAGGGAACUGAAAAGGGACCGACCCUUCGGGGAGCCUAUACAGGUGUUGCAUGGCUGUCGUCAGCUCGUGUCGUGAGAUGUUCGGUUAAGUCCGCUAACGAGCGCAACCCUCGUCGUAUGUUAUAUGUGUCAUACGAGACUGGCCGGUAAAAAGCCGGAGGAAGGUGAGGAUGAUGUCAAGUCAGCAUGACCUUUAUAUCCAGGGCUACACACACGCUACAAUGGUCUGUACAAUGGGUAGCCAAGCCGCGAGGCGGAGCCAAUCCUGAAAGCAGGCCUCAGUUCAGAUUGCAGUCUGCAACUCGACUGCAUGAAGCCGGAGUUGCUAGUAACCGCAGGUCAGCAAUACUGCGGUGAAUACGUUCCCGGGUCUU
This 399-nucleotide ribosomal RNA is filed under the name uncultured Anaerolineaceae bacterium. RNAcentral describes it as "bacterial SSU rRNA". It matches the Rfam family "Bacterial small subunit ribosomal RNA", at positions 971 to 1382 of the family's 1533-position model. Lineage: Bacteria; Bacillati; Chloroflexota; Anaerolineae; Anaerolineales; Anaerolineaceae. The record is from RNAcentral.